AACGAACGCUGGCGGCAUGCCUAACACAUGCAAGUCGAACGAGACCUUCGGGUCUAGUGGCGCACGGUUUCGUAACGCGUGGGAACCUUCCCUUAUGUUCGGAAUAACUCCCCGAAAGGGGUGCUAAUACCGGAUAAUGUCUUCGAACCAAAGAUUUAUCGCCUUUGGAUGGGCCCGCGUUGUAUUAGCUCGUUGGUAGGGUAAAAGCCUACCAAGGCGACGAUCCAUAGAUGGUCUGAGAGGAUGAUCAGCCACACUGGGACUAAGACACGGCCCAGAAUCCUACGCGAGGGAGGAGUGGGGAAUAUUGGACAAUGGGCGAAAGCAUGAUCCAGCAAGGCCGCGUGAGUGAUGAAAGCCUUAGGGUUGUAAAGCUCUUUUACCCGGGAUGAUAAUGACAGUACCGGGAGAAUAAGCCCCGGCUAACUACGUG
RNAcentral lists this ribosomal RNA (433 nucleotides) under uncultured bacterium. RNAcentral's name for it is "partial 16S ribosomal RNA". It matches the Rfam family "Bacterial small subunit ribosomal RNA", at positions 29 to 507 of the family's 1533-position model. The record is from RNAcentral.